CGUGUGGCACGCUACCCGCCGCGCGCGCAUCCUGUCCCCCGCCCUCGGAAUCCCAGCACGGGGGCCGAGCCCCGAGCUACAUUCCUCCUCCUCCUUCUUCGCCACCCAAAGACUCACGCAUACACACAUUUUUCUUUCGUAUCUGCUGUCUCAGCCUCCCUCGGGCCAAUUUGGGUAAAUGCGUCCAAGAGGAAGAAAUAAAAAUGAAAAGACUGACAGUUUAAAAGCAUGUGGAGGGCUUAGAAGAUAAAGACGAGUGCAAGAAAGGGAGAGCGCGGCCGGCCGCGGUGUCUCACGCCUGUCAUCCUAGCACUUUGGGAGGCCGAAGAGAUCGGAUCACUUGAGGUCCGGAGUUCAAAUCCAGCCUGGCCAACAUGGUGAAACCCCGUCUCUACUAAAAAUACAAAAAAAUUAGCCGGACCUGGUGGCGGGCGUCUGUAAUGCCAGCUACUCGGGAGGCUGAGGCGGGAGAAUCGCUUGAACCCGGGAGGCGGAGGUUGCAGUGAGCCGAGAUCGCGCCACUGCAUUCCAGCCUGGGCAACAGACUGAGACCCUGCCUCAAAAGAAAAAAAGAAAAAAAAAAAAGGAGAGCGCGUACUGUUGCGGAAGGGGCACUGCUCGAGAAACAGAGACGAAGGGAUGAUUUUCAAGUAAUCAAGACACCGAGAAAGACAAGAUUGGGGAUGGAAGAGCAGUAAGAAUUAAUGGAGACGUCCAAGAAUUGUAGUUCGGGCGCGGUGGCUCAUGCCUGUAAUCCCAGCACUUUGGGAGGCUGAGGUUAGUGGAUCACCUGAGGUCAGGAGUUCGAGACCAGCCUGUCCAAAUGGCGAAACCCCAUCUCUACUAAAAAAUACAAAAAUUAGCCGAGCAUGGUGGCGCACGCCUGUAAUCCCAGCUACUGGGGAAGCUGAGUCAGGAGAAUAGCUUGAACCUGGGAGGUGGGAGGUGGAGGUUGCAGUUAACCGAGCCACUGCAUUUCAGGUUAGGUGACAGAGUGAGGCUAUGUCUCCAAAAAAAAAAAAAAAAAAAAAAAAAAGAAGAAGAAGAAAAGCAAAUGGGUAGUUUGUUUUGCAUGCUUCUUGCCAGGCAGAAAAGGUGCUUGAGAGGAGAAAGAAGUGGAAAACUGGAAAGGGGGGGAAUCUAAAUCAAGGACUUUAUUUUCCUUACUGUUGAGUUGUAAAUACAGUCCUCCUUUGACAUUUAUCUUCCCCUUUUUCUAUGGUUUAAAAACAGGUGAUUUGGCUGGGCAUGGUGGCUCACACCUGUAAUCCCAGCAGUUUGGGAGGCCAAGGCAGGCGGAUCACUUGAGAUUACGAGUUCAAAGACCAGCUUGGUCAACAUGGUGAAACCCUGUCUCUACUAAAAAUACAAAAAUUAGCUGGGUGUGGUGGCAGGCACCUGUAGUCCCAGCUACUCGGGAGUCUAAGGCAGGAGAAUCGCUUAAACCCAGGAGGUGGAGGUUGCAGUGAGCCGAGAUCGCACCAUUGCACUCCAGCCUGGGAGACAGAGUGAGACUCCGUCUCAAAAGCAAAACAAAACAAACAAAAAACAACGUGAUUUAUAUAUCAUGGCGUUGUAUUUAUGUAUUAUGUAGUUUUUUUUCUUUUGACACAGGGUCUCACCCUGUUGCCCAGACUGGAGUGUAGCAGAGCGAUCACGGCUUCACUGCAGCCUCAGACUCCUGGGUUGAAACAACCCUCCCACCUUCCUGAAUACCAGCUAUUGUCCCAGCUUCCUGAAUACCUGGGACAAUAGUUGGGACUAUGGGCACAACUGUCUUGGGACUAAAUUUGUAUUUUAUUUUAUUUUAUUUUUAUUUUUUAGAGACGGAGUUUCGCUCUUAUUGCCCAGGCUGGAGUGCAGUGGCGCGAUCUAGGUUUACUGCAACCUACGCCUCCCGGGUUCAAUCGAUUAUCCUGCCUCAGACUCCGGAGUCGCUGGGAUUGCAGGCAUGCACAACCACUCCUGGCUAAUUUUUUUUUUUUUUUUUUUUUUUUUUGAGACGGAAUCUUGCUCUGUUGCCCAGGCUGGAGUGCAGUGGCACCAUCUCGGCUCACUGCAGCCUCCGCCUCCCGGGUUCAACCGAUUCUCCUGCCUCACCCUCCCAAGCAGCUGGGACUACAGGCGCGUGCCAGCACGCCCAGAUAAUUUUUUUUUGUAUUUUUAGUGGAGACGGGGUUUCACCAUAUUGGCCAGGCUGGUCUCAAACUUCUGACCUCGUAAUCCACCCGCCUCAGCCUCCCAAAGUGCUGGGAUUACAAGCGUGAGCCACGGUGCCUGGCGGCUAAUUUUGUGUUUUUAGUAGAGAUGGGGUUUCUCCAUGUUGGUCAGGCUGUUUUGGAAUUCCCGACCUCAGGUGAUCGGCCCGCCUUGGCCUCCGAAAGUGCUGAGAUUACAGGCGUGAGCCACCGCGGCCAGCCUGUAUUUUAUUUUUUGUAGAAUCAGUGUUGCGCUAGGUUGCUCAGGCUGGCCUCUAACAUCUAGGCUCAAGGGAUCCUUCCUGCCUCUGCCUUCAGAGUAGCUAGAAUUACAGACACACAUCACCAUGCCCAGCUUUGUUUGCUUGUUUUGAGAUAGGAUUGGCUGGUUUUGAACUCAUGGACUCAAGCUAUCCUCCUGCCUCAGCCUUCCAAAGCGGUAGGAUUACAGGUGUGGACCACCGCUCCCAGCCUGUAUUUUAUUUUUUAUGCACUUGGUAGUGCCCCUUCAUGACACUUAACAUAAACUUUCAGCCAGGAACAGUGGUUCCCACCUGUAAUCUUUGCCCAGGUGGGAGGAUUGCUUGAGCCUACAAGUUUGAGACUAGCUUGGGCAAUAUAGUGAGACGCCAAUCUCUAUCUUUAAAAAACUAAAACAUUAGUCCGGGCGCAGUGGCUCACGCCUAUAAUUUCAGUACUUUGGAGGCCGAGGCGGGUGGAUCACCUGUGAGGUCGGGAGUUUGAGACCAGCCUGACCAACAUGGAGAAACCCCAUCUCUACUAAAAAUACAAAAUUAGCUGGGCGUGGUGGUGCACGCCUGUAAUCCCAGCUGCUCGGGAGGCUGAGG
RNAcentral lists this long non-coding RNA (3046 nucleotides) under Homo sapiens (human). Its description in RNAcentral is "HSALNT0366498". The record is from RNAcentral. Lineage: Eukaryota; Metazoa; Chordata; Mammalia; Primates; Hominidae.